AACAACCUGGAGACAACCUCCGGGGUAUGCUGGACCUGCUUUCUUGGAAGAGGGCGUAGGAGCUGGUGUAGAGGACUUGCCUGGAGCUGAGCCUUCUGUGUCUACCACUGCUGGUGCUCAAGGGGCAACAGAUGACUUUGCCAUGGUUUCUACACAGCUGGGAUAAAAUGGGCAGGGAGGCCACGUGUGAGAAUGACCAGCAGCUGAGAGAGGAGAACUUGGAGUGACCACCAAGAUGCUUAAGGUGUUCCCUGGGCUUGAUAUUUUCAAGGACUUUCCCAAGGAGACAGACACCUUCACGCCUGUGUACUGUGACCUGACUCACGGCAGGAAAUGAAUGGAAUUGGAGGAGACCACGUUAAGUGAAAUAAGCCGCACGGAAAGACGAGUACGGCACGUUCUCUCACGUAGAAGCUAAAAAACGGUUGACCUGGAAGUAGAACAGCCAUUAGUAGAGGUUGGGAAGAGGGAGAGGAAGUAGAUAA
Molecule: long non-coding RNA, 485 nt
Organism: Microtus oregoni (creeping vole)
Lineage: Eukaryota; Metazoa; Chordata; Mammalia; Rodentia; Cricetidae
Exons: 3
Source: RefSeq, a predicted model, not a curated record